Molecule: long non-coding RNA, 636 nt
Organism: Poeciliopsis prolifica (blackstripe livebearer)
Lineage: Eukaryota; Metazoa; Chordata; Actinopteri; Cyprinodontiformes; Poeciliidae
Exons: 3
Source: RefSeq, a predicted model, not a curated record
AGAGUUUGGCCCAGUUCCUGCAUCAGGUCGGUUCUGUUAAUGAUUCGCUGGUUAUAAUGCUGCAGCUGCUUCCUCUUCCUGUGGUUCCGACUCGUCUGUAGCGGGUCAAGCUCGCGGCUUCUGGAUCAGCGGUUCCUGAAGGAUUCCUGAGGAUUUUCCCGAACCCUAACUCUAACCCUUUAGCUGCGUUCAGGUGCUGUCAGCAGGAAGCAGCUUUGACCUAAAAUCAACCUGUAUCCAAUCAGAGCGCAGACUGAACCCGGACAGACUGGUUCUGCUCAACAUUUUCGUCUCUGGAUCCAACAGAACCGGUUCAUGUGGAUCCGCCGAGCAGCAGAGAGUUUCACCAGAAUGAGUCCAGAGGGUUUCUGAUCCCUUCGUUCUGACAUGAAGAAGAAGAUGUUCUGGAUCCUCCUGCACGUGUCCCUGCUGGUCCCUGCGGUCCAGAUGUUGGUUCUGAACGGUUCUACGGAGGUCUGGACCCGAUCCGACCUCAGCCUGCCCACCGCUAACACGACACGUGGAGAUGAGCUGACGGAUCAGAACCCGCUCAACAGAACCACAACCGUCGCUCCGCAGACGGGAAACCUGACCCUGACCGUGACCUCUGACCCCAGGGCCUCCACAAAGCAAGCG